CUGUUUGGUUACCAACAUUCUUCUAGAUAUCUUCUUUUAUGUUCAACAAACUCAUACAGUUUUGUAACAUGAGGGUGAGUAAAUGAUGAUUUGAAUUUUUUGGGGGUGAGCUGUCCCCCCCAAAAAUAUGCUUUAUUAAUUUAAUAUUAGAUAUAUAGUAUUUUUUCUACAUACAUAAAUAAGUGUUUUUUUUUCAGUUGCCUUCUAAGAAUUGCUUAAUUUUAUGAAACUGUCAGUGCAAAAAAAAAACAAAAACAAAAAAAAAUUCUUUAAAUAGGUUCCAUUUAUCUUUAUUCUUUUUGAAUUUAGGGUGACAGUAAUUAUUGAAAGUUUUUGAGAGAUUCAAAAGCUAAACUUGUUAAAUACUUUCAAAAGUACAAAAAGGAGUCAUCUGGUAGCAUCAUUCUUUUUAUUUCUACUUCAACAAUCAUCUCUUAGCUUACUACACUAUUAGCUGUUUAAAUGGGAGACAGUGACUCUUAUUUGCACCGAAUUGAUUUCUAUGGCUUAAGCAACACAAUGUUGUGUAGUGUUUCUCUUUCCAGAUAAUGUGUUAGAAACUAGGCUUCAAACAUGUGGAAUGUUUUGCGGUUAUUAUUGCCUCUUGCACUUUGUUCUUUGUACUUGAGUGAUCCCAGAAAAUUACACCUUUAUCUUUUUUGUUUUCAAUUCUGUUAAGCUGUCUGACAGCAUCUGCUUGAGUGACAUUCCCUAAGCAUCUGCAUCUCAAAAGAAGUCUUACGAAUGGUACAUCUUUCUUUAGAUAGACAUGUUCUCUAUAUAGUUUUCCAUGUUGUUAGCUGUCUAAUAGACAAGCAUUAAUUGUUCUUCACAAAUGUCUUAGUCUGACAGAAAAUUGUGUUCUUUUUUGUCUUCAUGACAUCAUUGCUGUUGUGUGAGUAAAUGUUAGUUUGAUAUAUUGGGGAAUUGAUGAAUAACAGCUUAUUUUAGCUUUACAGUCCAAACACUUCCUUUGCUCAUUUAAAUAAUGCAUUAAUAUUUAUUGUACCUUUUCUUUGAGGUGGUAAUAACAUUGAUUGUACAUAGAUGUACAGGUCAUUUCCCCCGAUUUAUAUGAAAGCAUGUAUUAUCAAGAAAGGGAAAUAAAUUAUUUAAUGUCCA
This is a long non-coding RNA of Cyprinus carpio carpio, 1122 nucleotides long. Lineage: Eukaryota; Metazoa; Chordata; Actinopteri; Cypriniformes; Cyprinidae. The record is from Ensembl.